RNAcentral lists this non-coding RNA (70 nucleotides) under Serratia sp. (in: enterobacteria). RNAcentral's name for it is "Serratia sp. Fluoride sequence". It matches the Rfam family "Fluoride riboswitch aptamer (crcB RNA motif)". RNAcentral also lists the same sequence under 1 other name. Lineage: Bacteria; Pseudomonadati; Pseudomonadota; Gammaproteobacteria; Enterobacterales; Yersiniaceae. The record is from RNAcentral.
CCUAUAAAAGGUAAUGGCGUACUACCUUCCCCAACCGCUAUAGAAUAUAGCUGAUGACGCCUGGCUUACG